GGAGGCAUAUAGGCGCCCGGUGGGUCUCCUGGACUUCAAAUCCAGUGGCUGGUCCUCGAAAAACCAGCGAUGGGUUCGACUCCCAUAUGCCUCCGCCA
This 98-nucleotide transfer RNA is filed under the name Candidatus Tectimicrobiota bacterium. RNAcentral's name for it is "tRNA-Sec". It matches the Rfam family "Selenocysteine transfer RNA". Lineage: Bacteria; Pseudomonadati; Candidatus Tectimicrobiota. The record is from RNAcentral.